Small nuclear RNA from Marmota flaviventris (yellow-bellied marmot), 103 nucleotides. NCBI's taxonomy places the organism in Eukaryota, Metazoa, Chordata, Mammalia, Rodentia, Sciuridae. The record is from RefSeq and is a predicted model, not a curated record.
UUGCUCGCUUCGGCAGCACAUAUACUAGAGUUGGAACAAUAGAAGAUUAGCAUGGCUCCUGCUCAAGGAUGACACGCAAAUUUGUGAAGCAUUCCAUAUUUUU